UCCAGACUCCUACGGGAGGCAGCAGUGAGGAAUAUUGGUCAAUGGGCGGGAGCCUGAACCAGCCAUGCCGCGUGAAGGCGAGUGCCCUACGGGCGUUAAACUUCUUUUGUGCGGGAGCAAUAAGGGCCGCGCGUGGCCCGAUGAGAGUACCGCACGAAUAAGCAUCGGCUAACUCCGUGCCAGCAGCCGCGGUAAUACGGAGGAUGCGAGCGUUAUCCGGAAUUACUGGGUGUAAAGGGAGCGUAGGCGGGGAUGCAAGUUGGGUGUCAAAACUACCGGCUCAACUGGUAGUCGCACUCAAAACUGCAGCUCUUGAGUGAAGUAGAGGCAGGCGGAAUUCCUAGUGUAGCGGUGAAAUGCGUAGAUAUUAGGAGGAACACCAGUGGCGAAGGCGGCCUGCUGGGCUUUUACUGACGCUGAGGCUCGAAAGUGUGGGGAGCAAACAGGAUUAGAUACCCUCGUAC
This 464-nucleotide ribosomal RNA is filed under the name uncultured bacterium. RNAcentral's name for it is "bacterial SSU rRNA". It matches the Rfam family "Bacterial small subunit ribosomal RNA", at positions 330 to 793 of the family's 1533-position model. The record is from RNAcentral.